AGAGUUUGAUCAUGGCUCAGAGUGAACGCUGGCGGCGUGCUUAACACAUGCAAGUCGAACGAGAACGGUACUAGCUUGCUAGUAUGUCAGCUAAGUGGCGGACGGGUGAGUAAUGUAUAGUUAAUCUGCCCUUUAGAGGGGGAUAACAGUUGGAAACGACUGCUAAUACCCCAUACUCCUUUUAUCUUAAUGAUAAUUGGGAAACGUUUUUUCGCUAAAGGAUGAGACUAUAUGGUAUCAGGUAGUUGGUGGGGUAAGAGCCUACCAAGCCAAUGACGCCUAGCUGGUCUGAGAGGAUGAUCAGCCACACUGGAACUGAGACACGGUCCAGACUCCUACGGGAGGCAGCAGUGGGGAAUAUUGCACAAUGGAGGAAACUCUGAUGCAGCAACGCCGCGUGGAGGAUGACGCCUUUCGGUGUGUAAACUCCUUUUAUAUGGGAAGAUAAAUGACGGUACCAUAUGAAUAAGCACCGGCUAACUCCCGU
This 487-nucleotide ribosomal RNA is filed under the name uncultured bacterium. RNAcentral describes it as "bacterial SSU rRNA". It matches the Rfam family "Bacterial small subunit ribosomal RNA", at positions 8 to 506 of the family's 1533-position model. The record is from RNAcentral.